RNAcentral lists this small nuclear RNA (141 nucleotides) under Glossina pallidipes. Its description in RNAcentral is "U1 spliceosomal RNA". Lineage: Eukaryota; Metazoa; Arthropoda; Insecta; Diptera; Glossinidae. The record is from RNAcentral.
GAACUUACUUGUCUUGCGGAUUACCGUGAUCACAAAGGGGAUUUCCCUGGGGCGAGGCUUGACCAUUCCACUUUCUGUUGAGUUGACUUCCACGAUUAUCCCUAAUGCCAAUAAUUCCUACGUAUAAUUUUUGCGACUUAC